GAUGAACGCUAGCUACAGGCUUAACACAUGCAAGUCGAGGGGUAACAAGAGGAAAGCUUGCUUUCUUUGUUGACGACCGGCGCACGGGUGAGUAACGCGUAUCCAACCUGCCUAUAACUAGGGAAUAACCUUGCGAAAGUAAGACUAAUACCCUAUGAUUUCCUUUGAUGCCAUCAGAUUAGGAAUAAAGAUUUAUCGGUUAUAGAUGGGGAUGCGUCUGAUUAGCUUGUUGGCGGGGUAACGGCCCACCAAGGCAACGAUCAGUAGGGGUUCUGCGAGGAAGGUCCCCCACAUUGGAACUGAGACACGGUCCAAACUCCUACGGGAGGCAGCAGUGAGGAAUAUUGGUCAAUGGGCGGAAGCCUGAACCAGCCAAGUAGCGUGCAGGAUGACGGUCCUAUGGGUUGUAAACUGCUUUUAUACAGGAAUAAAGUUAGCCACGUGUGGUUAUUUGUAGGUACUGUAUGAAUAAGGACCGGCUAAUUCCGUGCCAGCAGCCGCAGUAA
This 506-nucleotide ribosomal RNA is filed under the name uncultured bacterium. Its description in RNAcentral is "partial 16S ribosomal RNA". It matches the Rfam family "Bacterial small subunit ribosomal RNA", at positions 28 to 523 of the family's 1533-position model. The record is from RNAcentral.